RNAcentral lists this ribosomal RNA (491 nucleotides) under uncultured bacterium. RNAcentral's name for it is "partial 16S ribosomal RNA". It matches the Rfam family "Bacterial small subunit ribosomal RNA", at positions 29 to 506 of the family's 1533-position model. The record is from RNAcentral.
AGUGAACGCUGGCGGUAGGCCUAACACAUGCAAGUCGAACGGCAGCACAGUAAGAGCUUGCUCUUACGGGUGGCGAGUGGCGGACGGGUGAGGAAUACAUCGGAAUCUACUUUUUCGUGGGGGAUAACGUAGGGAAACUUACGCUAAUACCGCAUACGACCUACGGGUGAAAGCAGGGGAUCUUCGGACCUUGCGCGAUUGAAUGAGCCGAUGUCGGAUUAGCUAGUUGGCGGGGUAAAGGCCCACCAAGGCGACGAUCCGUAGCUGGUCUGAGGGGAUGAUCAGCCACACUGGAACUGAGACACGGGCCAGACUCCUACGGGAGGCAGCAGUGGGGAAUAUUGGACAAUGGGCGCAAGCCUGAUCCAGCCAUACCGCGUGGGUGAAGAAGGCCUUCGGGUUGUAAAGCCCUUUUGUUGGGAAAGAAAAGCAGCAGGUUAAUACCCCGCUGUUCUGACGGUACCCAAAGAAUAAGCACCGGCUAACUUCGU